Small nucleolar RNA from Suncus etruscus (white-toothed pygmy shrew), 131 nucleotides. NCBI's taxonomy places the organism in Eukaryota, Metazoa, Chordata, Mammalia, Eulipotyphla, Soricidae. The record is from RefSeq and is a predicted model, not a curated record.
AACCAAAGUGUUGGGCUUAGUUCAAGGCUGCUUCCUUGUUCUAAUAAUUAAACUUUGGGACAAGACACAGACUGGGGAGAUGAUUAAGUAGAAGGUUAUUUCUCUAUUCCUUUCCCUCCUGGCCUACAAAA